GAGGCGUGGGAAACCGGCAGGAAUAUGGAUUUUAGUGUCAUCACGUCUUGCAACCUGCUAAGCUCACUGAAGUUUUUUAUAAGUCCUCGAAAAGACAGUGGCACCUGGUUUUCCUUCCCCAUGUGGAACCCUCUACAGCUUCCAGCAAGUUCCAUCACCCAGAGGACGCCAUGCAAGGAAGUGGCAAUGCCGGGACUUGAAGACCUGCUCCAGUGACAGGCCCUACUCUCACCUGCCCUGCCCUGAAAAACAGCCUCAGUGGCCUAGGGAAGUCCCCAGGUCAGGGGUCACAUCUAAGCUGCAACUGCAGCCUACGCCACAGCAACCCUGGAUCCAAACCACUUCUGUGACCUACACCGCAGCUUAUGGCAAUGCAGGAUCCUUAACCCGCUGACUGAGGCCAGGGAUGGAACCGGUGACGUCACAGAGACAACACUAGGUCCUUGACCAGCUGAGCCACAGCGGGAACCCCCAGUCUGGUUUUUGAAGCAGAGGUCAUCAAACUUUUUUGCUCCUGUAUCCCCGAAUAAAUUUUGAAAAACUCGCCCUUCCGCAUUCCAAGCAGACGUCUAAGUUUUGCAUCGUCAAUGUAGAGAGUCGUAAAGGAGGUCGUGUCUGGCACAUCAUCGUUUUAAUCCAACUUUUCAUAACACUUUUAAAUGUAUACAAUGGCCACGAAGUCCUAAGGCAAUUUGAUAUUCUCAUCACCCAAUUAAAAUAUGCGUUAAUCAGUAUCCUUCUAGGGAGUUCCCACUGUGGCUCAUUGGUUUACGAACCCAGCUUGUGUCCAUGAGGAUGCAAGUUGAUCCCCGGCCUUGUUCAGUGGGUUAAGGAUCCAGCGUUGCCAUGAGCAGUGGUGUAGGUCGCAGACACGGCUCAGAUCUGGCAUUGCUGUGGUUGUGUCACAGGCUGGCAGCUGCAGGUCUGGUUUGACCCCUGGCCUGGGAACCUCCAUAUGCCACAGGUGUGGCCCUAAAAAGCAAGUAAAUAAAGAAAUAAUCCUUCUUUACAAGAAAUUUUAAAAUGCUUUUUUCUUCUUGAACCUACAUUUCAAUUUCACUUUUUCCUUGCAAAGAAGACAUAAUGUAAUAUCUUUUUUUUUUUUUUUUCCGGUCCUUUUAGGGCCACACCCACGGCAUGUGGAGGUUCCCGGGCCAGGGGUCAAAUCAGAGCCAUAGCUGCGGUCUACAUCACAGUCACAGCAAUGCAGGAUCCAAGCCGCAUCUGCAACCUACACCACAGCUCACGGCAACACCAGAUCCUUAAUCUACUGAGCAAGGCCAGGGAUCGAACCUUUGUCCUCAUGGAUACUAGUCAGGUUUGUUACUGCUGAGCCAUGAUGGGAGCUCCUUUUGAAAGUAUUUUAUUAAGCACCCUAUCAUUUCUCUCUGUCAAAUGGCUGUGGCUGUGCAUUUAAAUGUAAUAAAAAUAUC
Molecule: long non-coding RNA, 1433 nt
Filed under: Sus scrofa (pig)
Lineage: Eukaryota; Metazoa; Chordata; Mammalia; Artiodactyla; Suidae
Description: lncRNA (ENSSSCG00030026136.1)
Source: RNAcentral